RNAcentral lists this ribosomal RNA (484 nucleotides) under uncultured bacterium. RNAcentral's name for it is "partial 16S ribosomal RNA". It matches the Rfam family "Bacterial small subunit ribosomal RNA", at positions 30 to 507 of the family's 1533-position model. The record is from RNAcentral.
AUUGAACGCUGGCGGCAGGCCUAACACAUGCAAGUCGAGCGGAUGAAGGGAGCUUGCUCCUGGAUUCAGCGGCGGACGGGUGAGUAAUGCCUAGGAAUCUGCCUGGUAGUGGGGGAUAACGUCCGGAAACGGGCGCUAAUACCGCAUACGUCCUGAGGGAGAAAGUGGGGGAUCUUCGGACCUCACGCUAUCAGAUGAGCCUAGGUCGGAUUAGCUAGUUGGUGGGGUAAAGGCCUACCAAGGCGACGAUCCGUAACUGGUCUGAGAGGAUGAUCAGUCACACUGGAACUGAGACACGGUCCAGACUCCUACGGGAGGCAGCAGUGGGGAAUAUUGGACAAUGGGCGAAAGCCUGAUCCAGCCGUGCGGCGGGGGGGGGGGGGGGGUUCGGAUUGUAAAGCACUUUAAGUUGGGAGGAAGGGCAGUAAGUUAAUACCUUGCUGUUUUGACGUUACCAACAGAAUAAGCACCGGCUAACUUCGUG